UACGUAGGGGGCAAGCGUUGUCCGGAAUCAUUGGGCGUAAAGAGCGUGUAGGCGGUCCGGUAAGUCCGCUGUAAAAGUCAAGGGCUCAACCCUUGAAAGCCGGUGGAUACUGCCGGGCUAGAGUCCGGAAGAGGCGAGUGGAACUCCUGGUGUAGCGGUGAAAUGCGCAGAUAUCGUAAGGAAGACCAGUGGCGAAGGCGGGUCUCUGGACAGUUCCUGACGCUGAGGCACGAAGGUCAGGGGAGCAAACGGG
Molecule: ribosomal RNA, 253 nt
Filed under: uncultured bacterium
Lineage: Bacteria
Description: partial 16S ribosomal RNA
Rfam family: Bacterial small subunit ribosomal RNA
Source: RNAcentral